GGGGCCAUAGCUCAGUUGGGAGAGCGCCUGCUUUGCAAGCAGGAGGUCGAGGGUUCGAGACCCUCUGGCUCCACCA
This 76-nucleotide transfer RNA is filed under the name Chloroflexota bacterium. Its description in RNAcentral is "Chloroflexi bacterium tRNA-Ala". It matches the Rfam family "tRNA". From Rfam's summary of the family: Transfer RNA (tRNA) molecules are approximately 80 nucleotides in length. Their secondary structure includes four short double-helical elements and three loops (D, anti-codon, and T loops). Lineage: Bacteria; Bacillati; Chloroflexota. The record is from RNAcentral. RNAcentral also lists the same sequence under 1 other name.